GACGAACGCUGGCGGCGUGCCUAAUACAUGCAAGUAGAACGCUGAAGAGAGGAGCUUGCUCUUCUUGGAUGAGUUGCGGACGGGUGAGUAACGCGUAGGUAACCUGCCUGGUAGCGGGGGAUAACUAUUGGAAACGAUAGCUAAUACCGCAUGACAUUGAUUAUCGCAUGAUAAUUGAUUGAAAGAUGCAAUUGCAUCACUACCAGAUGGACCUGCGUUGUAUUAGCUAGUUGGUGAGGUAACGGCUCACCAAGGCGACGAUACAUAGCCGACCUGAGAGGGUGAUCGGCCACACUGGGACUGAGACACGGCCCAGACUCCUACGGGAGGCAGCAGUAGGGAAUCUUCGGCAAUGGGGGGAACCCUGACCGAGCAACGCCGCGUGAGUGAAGAAGGUUUUCGGAUCGUAAAGCUCUGUUGUAAGAGAAGAACGGGUGUGAGAGUGGAAAGUUCACACUGUGACG
Molecule: ribosomal RNA, 464 nt
Filed under: Streptococcus sanguinis
Lineage: Bacteria; Bacillati; Bacillota; Bacilli; Lactobacillales; Streptococcaceae
Description: bacterial SSU rRNA
Rfam family: Bacterial small subunit ribosomal RNA
Source: RNAcentral